This 279-nucleotide ribosomal RNA is filed under the name uncultured bacterium. RNAcentral's name for it is "partial 16S ribosomal RNA". It matches the Rfam family "Bacterial small subunit ribosomal RNA", at positions 506 to 784 of the family's 1533-position model. The record is from RNAcentral.
UGCCAGCAGCCGCGGUAAUACAUAUGUGGCGAGCGUUGUUCGGAAUCACUGGGCAUAAAGAGUUCGUAGGCGGUUUUAUUAGUUGGGUGUGAAAUCCUCCGGCUUACGCGGAGAACUGCAUCCAAUACUGUAAAACUGGAGUUAUUGAGGGGAAAGUGGAAUUCCAUGUGUAGCGGUGAAAUGCGUAGAUAUAUGGGAGAACGCCAAUGGCGAAGGCAGCUUUCUGGCGAAUGACUGACGCUGAGGAACGAAAGUUAGGGUAUCGAACAGGAUUAGAUA